This 402-nucleotide ribosomal RNA is filed under the name uncultured bacterium. RNAcentral's name for it is "bacterial SSU rRNA". It matches the Rfam family "Bacterial small subunit ribosomal RNA", at positions 355 to 774 of the family's 1533-position model. The record is from RNAcentral.
UCGGGAAUUUUGCUCAAUGGGCGCAAGCCUGAAGCAGCAACGCCGCGUGAGGGAUGAAGGCCUUCGGGUUGUAAACCUCUUUUCUCAGGGACGAUGAUGACGGUACCUGAGGAAUAAGUCACGGCUAACUACGUGCCAGCAGCCGCGGUAAUACGUAGGUGACCAGCGUUGUCCGGAUUUAAUGGGCGUAAAGAGCGAGCAGGCGGUCGUUCAAGUCGAGUGUGAAAGCCCCCGGCUCAACUGGGGAGGGUCACUCGAUACUGAUCGACUUGAAGGCAGGAGAGGGAAGCGGAAUUCCCGGUGUAGUGGUGAAAUGCGUAGAUAUCGGGAGGAACACCAGUGGCGAAGGCGGCUUCCUGGCCUGUUCUUGACGCUGAGGCGCGAAAGCUAGGGGAGCAAACG